ACGUCACGAUAAUGAGGCGUUCACCCUGAUUGAAUCAGGCUCUGAACGGGGAGCAUGUCAUCGCUGUGCUGAGCACGUCGCGAGCUCCUGCAAAAACUCAACACAACCUCGCCCUUGCUACACAUUGUCUGACG
This is a non-coding RNA of Xenorhabdus nematophila ATCC 19061, 134 nucleotides long. Lineage: Bacteria; Pseudomonadati; Pseudomonadota; Gammaproteobacteria; Enterobacterales; Morganellaceae. The record is from Rfam.